RNAcentral lists this ribosomal RNA (2931 nucleotides) under Shigella flexneri. RNAcentral describes it as "23S ribosomal RNA". It matches the Rfam family "Bacterial large subunit ribosomal RNA". The record is from RNAcentral. Lineage: Bacteria; Pseudomonadati; Pseudomonadota; Gammaproteobacteria; Enterobacterales; Enterobacteriaceae.
GGGUUGUGAGGUUAAGCGACUAAGCGUACACGGUGGAUGCCCUGGCAGUCAGAGGCGAUGAAGGACGUGCUAAUCUGCGAUAAGCGUCGGUAAGGUGAUAUGAACCGUUAUAACCGGCGAUUUCCGAAUGGGGAAACCCAGUGUGAUUCGUCACACUAUCAUUAACUGAAUCCAUAGGUUAAUGAGGCGAACCGGGGGAACUGAAACAUCUAAGUACCCCGAGGAAAAGAAAUCAACCGAGAUUCCCCCAGUAGCGGCGAGCGAACGGGGAGCAGCCCAGAGCCUGAAUCAGUGUGUGUGUUAGUGGAAGCGUCUGGAAAGGCGUGCGAUACAGGGUGACAGCCCCGUACACAAAAAUGCACAUACUGUGAGCUCGAUGAGUAGGGCGGGACACGUGGUAUCCUGUCUGAAUAUGGGGGGACCAUCCUCCAAGGCUAAAUACUCCUGACUGACCGAUAGUGAACCAGUACCGUGAGGGAAAGGCGAAAAGAACCCCGGCGAGGGGAGUGAAAAAGAACCUGAAACCGUGUACGUACAAGCAGUGGGAGUGCGCUUAGGCGUGUGACUGCGUACCUUUUGUAUAAUGGGUCAGCGACUUAUAUUCUGUAGCAAGGUUAACCGAAUAGGGGAGCCGAAGGGAAACCGAGUCUUAACUGGGCGUUAAGUUGCAGGGUAUAGACCCGAAACCCGGUGAUCUAGCCAUGGGCAGGUUGAAGGUUGGGUAACACUAACUGGAGGACCGAACCGACUAAUGUUGAAAAAUUAGCGGAUGACUUGUGGCUGGGGGUGAAAGGCCAAUCAAACCGGGAGAUAGCUGGUUCUCCCCGAAAGCUAUUUAGGUAGCGCCUCGUGAAUUCAUCUCCGGGGGUAGAGCACUGUUUCGGCAAGGGGGUCAUCCCGACUUACCAACCCGAUGCAAACUGCGAAUACCGGAGAAUGUUAUCACGGGAGGCACACGGCGGGUGCUAACGUCCGUCGUGAAGAGGGAAACAACCCAGACCGCCAGCUAAGGUCCCAAAGUCAUGGUUAAGUGGGAAACGAUGUGGGAAGGCCCAGACAGCCAGGAUGUUGGCUUAGAAGCAGCCAUCAUUUAAAGAAAGCGUAAUAGCUCACUGGUCGAGUCGGCCUGCGCGGAAGAUGUAACGGGGCUAAACCAUGCACCGAAGCUGCGGCAGCGACGCUUAUGCGUUGUUGGGUAGGGGAGCGUUCUGUAAGCCUGUGAAGGUGUGCUGUGAGGUAUGCUGGAGGUAUCAGAAGUGCGAAUGCUGACAUAAGUAACGAUAAAGCGGGUGAAAAGCCCGCUCGCCGGAAGACCAAGGGUUCCUGUCCAACGUUAAUCGGGGCAGGGUGAGUCGACCCCUAAGGCGAGGCCGAAAGGCGUAGUCGAUGGGAAACAGGUUAAUAUUCCUGUACUUGGUGUUACUGCGAAGGGGGGACGGAGAAGGCUAUGUUGGCCGGGCGACGGUUGUCCCGGUUUAAGCGUGUAGGCUGGUUUUCCAGGCAAAUCCGGAAAAUCAAGGCCGAGGCGUGAUGACGAGGCACUACGGUGCUGAAGCAACAAAUGCCCUGCUUCCAGGAAAAGCCUCUAAGCAUCAGGUAACAUCAAAUCGUACCCCAAACCGACACAGGUGGUCAGGUAGAGAAUACCAAGGCGCUUGAGAGAACUCAGGUGAAGGAACUAGGCAAAAUGGUGCCGUAACUUCGGGAGAAGGCACGCUGAUACGUAGGUGAAGCGACUUGCUCGUGGAGCUGAAAUCAGUCGAAGAUACCAGCUGGCUGCAACUGUUUAUUAAAAACACAGCACUGUGCAAACACGAAAGUGGACGUAUACGGUGUGACGCCUGCCCGGUGCCGGAAGGUUAAUUGAUGGGGUUAGCGCAAGCGAAGCUCUUGAUCGAAGCCCCGGUAAACGGCGGCCGUAACUAUAACGGUCCUAAGGUAGCGAAAUUCCUUGUCGGGUAAGUUCCGACCUGCACGAAUGGCGUAAUGAUGGCGAGGCUGUCUCCACCCGAGACUCAGUGAAAUUGAACUCGCUGUGAAGAUGCAGUGUACCCGCGGCAAGACGGAAAGACCCCGUGAACCUUUACUAUAGCUUGACACUGAACAUUGAGCCUUGAUGUGUAGGAUAGGUGGGAGGCUUUGAAGUGUGGACGCCAGUCUGCAUGGAGCCGACCUUGAAAUACCACCCUUUAAUGUUUGAUGUUCUAACGUGGACCCGUAAUCCGGGUUGCGGACAGUGUCUGGUGGGUAGUUUGACUGGGGCGGUCUCCUCCUAAAGAGUAACGGAGGAGCACGAAGGUUGGCUAAUCCUGGUCGGACAUCAGGAGGUUAGUGCAAUGGCAUAAGCCAGCUUGACUGCGAGCGUGACGGCGCGAGCAGGUGCGAAAGCAGGUCAUAGUGAUCCGGUGGUUCUGAAUGGAAGGGCCAUCGCUCAACGGAUAAAAGGUACUCCGGGGAUAACAGGCUGAUACCGCCCAAGAGUUCAUAUCGACGGCGGUGUUUGGCACCUCGAUGUCGGCUCAUCACAUCCUGGGGCUGAAGUAGGUCCCAAGGGUAUGGCUGUUCGCCAUUUAAAGUGGUACGCGAGCUGGGUUUAGAACGUCGUGAGACAGUUCGGUCCCUAUCUGCCGUGGGCGCUGGAGAACUGAGGGGGGCUGCUCCUAGUACGAGAGGACCGGAGUGGACGCAUCACUGGUGUUCGGGUUGUCAUGCCAAUGGCACUGCCCGGUAGCUAAAUGCGGAAGAGAUAAGUGCUGAAAGCAUCUAAGCACGAAACUUGCCCCGAGAUGAGUUCUCCCUGACCCUUUAAGGGUCCUGAAGGAACGUUGAAGACGACGACGUUGAUAGGCCGGGUGUGUAAGCGCAGCGAUGCGUUGAGCUAACCGGUACUAAUGAACCGUGAGGCUUAACCUUACAACGCCGAAGGUGUUU